Molecule: ribosomal RNA, 603 nt
Filed under: Triticum aestivum (bread wheat)
Lineage: Eukaryota; Viridiplantae; Streptophyta; Magnoliopsida; Poales; Poaceae
Description: partial small subunit ribosomal RNA
Source: RNAcentral
AUGAAUCAGGCCUGCACCUCGGCCACGAACCGGGAGCUCAUCGACUGCGACACGGCGGACAACGAAGGGUGCCAGGGCGGGCUCAUGGACAACGCCUUCGAGUACAUCAAGAGCAACGGCGGGCUCAUCACCGAGGCUGCCUACCCGUACCGCGCCGCCCAAGGCACCUGCAACGUCGCGAGAGCGGCCCAGAAUUCCCCCGUGGUGGUGCACAUCGACGGGCACCAGGACGUGCCGGCCAACAGCGAGGAGGCGCUGGCCCAGGCGGUGGCGAACCAGCCCGUGUCCGUGGCCGUCGAGGCCAGCGGGAAGGCGUUCAUGUUCUACUCCGAGGGGAUCUUCACCGGCAGCUGCGGCACGGAGCUGGACCACGGCGUCGCGGUGGUCGGGUACGGCGUGGCAGAGGACGGCAAGGCGUACUGGACGGUGAAGAACUCGUGGGGGCCGUCGUGGGGGGAGCAGGGCUACAUCAGGGUGGAGAAGGAUUCCGGCGCCGCGGGCGGGCUCUGCGGCAUCGCCAUGGAGGCGUCCUACCCCGUCAAGACCGACAGCAAGCCCAAGCCCACGCCCAGGCGCGCGCUCGGCGCCUGGGAGUCGCAGUGA